Long non-coding RNA from Rosa chinensis, 568 nucleotides. RefSeq lists it as uncharacterized. Lineage: Eukaryota; Viridiplantae; Streptophyta; Magnoliopsida; Rosales; Rosaceae. The record is from RefSeq and is a predicted model, not a curated record. The transcript has 3 exons.
UUUCUUCUUUCAGUCUUUCAUUCCUCUCCUCGGCGCCUCAGCAAUUCAAUCCUUAAUCAAAACUUCAGUUCCUCCCUUCCUUAAUCCUCCAUCAGCUUUUGACUUCGAUCGGAUUCUUCUGAGGCGAAGCGGUUACAACCAAGGGUUUUCUGGGUUUGAAUCUUCCUCUCUUCGUGUCAUUUAAUACUACUGCUACUCUCACUCCUUCAUCACGUAGAUCUGAUAACCAGCCCCAGACAACAAAUCAUGAUGAAGUUAUUGGCUGACAGUUUGGAUAUCUUGUAUCACAUGUCUUCGUCCUUUCCGAGCUUUGUUGCGAAGGUGGUAACUUGGUAUCUACUAGAGGUGUUAAUGGUGGAAAAGAAGCCUCAGGUUCCUGCUCCUGUAGCAAAAUCCAGUAGCCACUAGCCAAGGUAAUAGAAUAGAUCUGAGUUCAAAAGAUCCGAGCUUUGUUGCCAAGGUAUGUUUAAAAACGAAGGAAUAGAAAAGAUAUGUUUUUAAAAGAUCAGAACUUUGUACUGGCCCUUCAUAUUCUUGAUCUUAACAUUGUUCUUGUGUAUGUUGUAUA